This 73-nucleotide transfer RNA is filed under the name Camelus bactrianus (Bactrian camel). It matches the Rfam family "tRNA". Rfam says of the family: Transfer RNA (tRNA) molecules are approximately 80 nucleotides in length. Their secondary structure includes four short double-helical elements and three loops (D, anti-codon, and T loops). Lineage: Eukaryota; Metazoa; Chordata; Mammalia; Artiodactyla; Camelidae. The record is from Rfam by way of RNAcentral. RNAcentral also lists the same sequence under 2 other names.
GGGGGUAUAGCUCAGUGGCAGAGUAUAUGCUUAGCAUGCACAAGGGUCCUGGGUUCAAUCUCCAGUACCGCCA